AUCGCUUCUCGGCCUUUUGGCUAAGAUCAAGUGUAGUAUCUGUUCUUAUCAGUUUAAUAUCGGAUACAUCCUCUAUCUGAGGACAAUAUAUUAAAUGGAUUUUUGGAACUAGGUGUUGGAAUAGGAGCUUGCUCCGUCUACUCCACGCAUCGACCUAGUAUUGCAGUACCUCCAGGGACAGUGCACCCCCU
Molecule: small nuclear RNA, 191 nt
Filed under: Nannospalax galili (Upper Galilee mountains blind mole rat)
Lineage: Eukaryota; Metazoa; Chordata; Mammalia; Rodentia; Spalacidae
Description: U2 spliceosomal RNA (ENSNGAG00000003920.1)
Rfam family: U2 spliceosomal RNA
About the family: U2 is a small nuclear RNA (snRNA) component of the spliceosome (involved in pre-mRNA splicing). Complementary binding between U2 snRNA (in an area lying towards the 5' end but 3' to hairpin I) and the branchpoint sequence (BPS) of the intron results the bulging out of an unpaired adenosine, on the BPS, which initiates a nucleophilic attack at the intronic 5' splice site, thus starting the first of two transesterification reactions that mediate splicing.
Source: Rfam by way of RNAcentral